GUAGGAGCCGGCUUGCUGGCGAUGACUGAGUGUCAGUCGACAUUGAUGUUUCUGAUACACCGCCAUCGCCAGCAAGCCGGCUCCUAC
This 87-nucleotide unclassified non-coding RNA is filed under the name Pseudomonas migulae. The record is from RNAcentral. Lineage: Bacteria; Pseudomonadati; Pseudomonadota; Gammaproteobacteria; Pseudomonadales; Pseudomonadaceae.